AACGAACGCUGGCGGCAUGCCUAACACAUGCAAGUCGAACGGAUGCAGCAAUGCAUCAGUGGCAGACGGGUGAGUAACACGUGGGAAUCUACCCAGUAGCCUGGAAUAACCGCGGGAAACUGCGGCUAAUACCGGAUACGCCCCUCGGGGGAAAGGAGCAAUCCACUAUUGGAGGAGCCCGCGUCCGAUUAGCUAGUUGGUGAGGUAACGGCUCACCAAGGCGAUGAUCGGUAGCUGGUUUGAGAGAACGACCAGCCACACUGGGACUGAGACACGGCCCAGACUCCUACGGGAGGCAGCAGUGGGGAAUAUUGGACAAUGGGGGAAACCCUGAUCCAGCAAUGCCGCGUGGGUGAUGAAGGCCUUCGGGUUGUAAAGCCCUUUUGGCGGGGACGAUGAUGACGGUACCCGCAGAAGAAGCCCCGGCUAACUUCGUGCCAGCCGCCGCGGUAA
This 453-nucleotide ribosomal RNA is filed under the name uncultured bacterium. RNAcentral's name for it is "partial 16S ribosomal RNA". It matches the Rfam family "Bacterial small subunit ribosomal RNA", at positions 29 to 523 of the family's 1533-position model. The record is from RNAcentral.